Molecule: ribosomal RNA, 490 nt
Filed under: uncultured bacterium
Lineage: Bacteria
Description: bacterial SSU rRNA
Rfam family: Bacterial small subunit ribosomal RNA
Source: RNAcentral
GACGAACGCUGGCGGCGUGCCUAACACAUGCAAGUCGAACGAAGAAUGUUUUUCGGAAUAUUCUUAGCGGCGGACGGGUGAGUAACACGUGGGCAACCUGCCUUGGAGUGGGGGAUAACACCGGGAAAUCGGUGCUAAUACCGCAUAACAUACACAAACUGCAUGGUAAGUGUAUCAAAGGAGUAAUCCGCUUUAAGAUGGGCCCGCGGCUGAUUAGCUAGUUGGUAAGGUAACGGCUUACCAAGGCGACGAUCAGUAGCCGACCUGAGAGGGUGACCGGCCACACUGGAACUGAGACACGGUCCAGACUCCUACGGGAGGCAGCAGUGGGGAAUAUUGCGCAAUGGGGGGAACCCUGACGCAGCAACGCCGCGUGGAGGAAGAAGGUCUUCGGAUUGUAAACUCCUGUCUUCUGGGACGAAGUAUGACGGUACCAGAGGAGGAAGCCACGGCUAACUACGUGCCAGCAGCCGCGGUAAGCUCGUCUCUA